GACGAACGCUGGCGGCGCGCUUAACACAUGCAAGUCGAGCGAUGAAAUCUUAACAGAACCCUUCGGGGUGAAGAUAAGACGGAUUAGCGGCGGACGGGUGAGUAACACGUGAGUAACCUGCCUUUUACACAGGGAUAGCCUCAGGAAACCGGGAUUAAAACCUGAUGAAACUACCAAAUCACAUGAUUAAGAAAGUUAAAACUCCGGUGGUAAAAGAUGGACUCGCGUCCCAUUAGCUAGUUGGUGAAGGUAACGGCCCACUAAGGCAACGAUGGGUAGCCGGCCUGAGAGGGUGAACGGACACAUUGGAACUGAGAAACGGUCCAAACUCCUACGGGAGGCAGCAGUGGGGAAUAUUGCACAAUGGGGGAAACCCUGAUGCAGCGACGCCGCGUGAGCGAAGAAGGCCUUCGGGUCGUAAAGCUCUUUUAUAUGGGAAGAUAAUGACGGUACCAGAAGAAAAAGCCCCGGCUAACUACGUG
This 482-nucleotide ribosomal RNA is filed under the name uncultured bacterium. Its description in RNAcentral is "partial 16S ribosomal RNA". It matches the Rfam family "Bacterial small subunit ribosomal RNA", at positions 28 to 507 of the family's 1533-position model. The record is from RNAcentral.